AUGGAGGUGGUAUGCUUUCGGCACAUGAUGCCAUCUUAUUGCUGGAAACUGAUGAGGUGGUUAAACAUCGGUCCUGAGAAAAAGCUCAAUGUGGAGCACACACUGCUACGAAGGUUCAUCAAGGAGAUGAUGGAGAGGAGGAAUAUCAAGACGUGGCAAGUUAAUAAUGAUGAGGAAGAAGAAGGUGUGGAUAUUGUAUCUUUCUUCCUCGAUGACCCAUGCUACGCUAAUGAUGACUUGUUUUGUGCUAUCACCAUUGGCUACAUGCUCGUUGCGAGGGACACAGUUGGAAUAGCCUUGACAUGGAUCUUCUACAACCUCGCCCAGAACCCUAACAUCGUUUCAAUCAUCCGCAACGAACUCUCACCGGUUGCAUCACAUAAAGUAGUAGCUGGUGUUGGAACUAUGGUGAUAUUUGAGCCGGAUGAGACCAGAUCUUUAUCCUAUCUUAGGGCUGCCUUAAUGGAGGGCAUAUGGGGUAAGGACUGCCUUGACUAUAACCCAGAUAGGUGGCUCUUGAAGGAUGGCGAUGGUCUAAGGUAUGUACCACCUCACAAGUUCCUGGCCUUUAACUCGGGGCCAAGGAUGUGCCUCGGUAAGGAAAUCGCGGUUAUGCAGAUGAUGAUUGUCGUGGCCUCAACGCUAUGGAACUUCGAUGUGCAUCUGGAGAAAGGGCAAAGCAUCGAGCCCAAGGCAUCUUGUAUACUAGAGAUGAAAAACGGGCUUAUGGUUAAGCUGAAGAAGCGAGAAGUGUAA
This 756-nucleotide ribosomal RNA is filed under the name Triticum aestivum (bread wheat). RNAcentral's name for it is "partial small subunit ribosomal RNA". The record is from RNAcentral. Lineage: Eukaryota; Viridiplantae; Streptophyta; Magnoliopsida; Poales; Poaceae.